Molecule: ribosomal RNA, 686 nt
Filed under: uncultured bacterium
Lineage: Bacteria
Description: bacterial SSU rRNA
Rfam family: Bacterial small subunit ribosomal RNA
Source: RNAcentral
GGAUAACGUUUGGAAACGAACGCUAAUACCGCAUAAAAUAUCGGAGUCGCAUGGCACUGAUAUCAAAGGAGCAAUCCGCUGAAAGAUGGGCUCGCGUCCGAUUAGGCAGUUGGCGGGGUAACGGCCCACCAAACCGACAAUCGGUAGCCGGACUGAGAGGUUGAACGGCCACAUUGGGACUGAGACACGGCCCAGACUCCUACGGGAGGCAGCAGUGGGGGAUAUUGCACAAUGGGGGAAACCCUGAUGCAGCGAUGCCGCGUGAAUGAAGACGGCCUUCGGGUUGUAAAGUUCUGUCGCAGGGGACGAAAAUGACGGUACCCUGCAAGAAAGCUCCGGCUAACUACGUGCCAGCAGCCGCGGUAAUACGUAGGGAGCAAGCGUUGUCCGGAAUUACUGGGUGUAAAGGGAGCGUAGGCGGGAGGAUAAGUUGAAUGUGAAAUCUAUGGGCUCAACCCAUAGCUGCGUUCAAAACUGUUCUUCUUGAGUGGAGUAGAGGCAGGCGGAAUUCCUAGUGUAGCGGUGAAAUGCGUAGAUAUUAGGAGGAACACCAGUGGCGAAGGCGGCCUGCUGGGCUUUUACUGACGCUGAGGCUCGAAAGCGUGGGUAGCAAACAGGAUUAGAUACCCUGGUAGUCCACGCGGUAAACGAUGAUUACUAGGUGUGGGUGGACUGACCCCAUCCGU